AUAUAUGCGAUGACGAGGAAAAGUAGGUCAGGACGGUCGUUCAGAGAGGAGGCGCCGGGGCUGUAAGCGCUUCCCGAUGCAGCUGACAGAAAACCACCUCGGAGCAGUUUGCUGAAUCUCAGUAAGCAAACCGGUGGUGCGGCGCCGUUAUUGCCUUUGAGGUGGGAGAUAUGUUCUCCAACCAGGGUGGAACCGCGGAUAGAUCCCGUCCCUGAA
Molecule: non-coding RNA, 216 nt
Filed under: Desulforamulus hydrothermalis
Lineage: Bacteria; Bacillati; Bacillota; Clostridia; Eubacteriales; Peptococcaceae
Also listed under: 1 other name
Description: Desulfotomaculum hydrothermale T-box sequence
Rfam family: T-box leader
About the family: Uncharged tRNA acts as the effector for transcription antitermination of genes in the T-box leader family. T-boxes are found upstream of many aminoacyl-tRNA synthetase genes and some amino acid biosynthetic genes usually in Gram-positive bacteria.
Source: RNAcentral